GAAUUCGCCCUUAGAGUUUGAUUCUGGCUCAGGAUGAACGCUGGCGGCGUGCCUAACACAUGCAAGUCGAGCGAUGAAGUUUCCUUCGGGAAACGGAUUAGCGGCGGACGGGUGAGUAACACGUGGGUAACCUGCCUCAUAGAGGGGAAUAGCCUUCCGAAAGGAAGAUUAAUACCGCAUAAUAUUAUUGAGUGGCAUCACUUGAUAAUCAAAGGAGCAAUCCGCUAUGAGAUGGACCCGCGUCGCAUUAGUUAGUUGGUGGGGUAACGGCCUACCAAGACGACGAUGCGUAGCCGACCUGAGAGGGUGAUCGGCCACAUUGGGACUGAGACACGGCCCAGACUCCUACGGGAGGCAGCAGUGGGGAAUAUUGCACAAUGGAGGAAACUCUGAUGCAGCAACGCCGCGUGAGCGAUGAAGGUCUUCGGAUCGUAAAGCUCUGUCUUUAGGGAUGAUAAUGACAGUACCUAAGGAGGAAGCCACGGCUAACUACGUGCCAGCAGCCGCGGUAAUACGUAGGUGGCGAGCGUUAUCCGGAUUUAUUGGGCGUAAAGGGAGCGUAGGCGGAUACUUAAGUGGGAUGUGAAAUACUUGGGCUCAACCCGAGUACUGCAUUCCAAACUGAGUAUCUAGAGUGCAGGAGAGGAGAGUGGAAUUCCUAGUGUAGCGGUGAAAUGCGUAGAGAUUAGGAAGAACACCAGUGGCGAAGGCGACUCUCUGGACUGUAACUGACGCUGAGGCUCGAAAGCAUGGGGAGCAAACAGGAUUAGAUACCCUGGUAGUCCAUGCUGUAAACGAUGAAUACUAGGUGGGGGGAGGACUGACCCUUUCCGUGCCGGAGUUAACACAAUAAGUAUUCCACCCUGGGGAGUACGACCGCAAGGUUGAAACUCAAAGGAAUUGACGGGGGCCCGCACAAGCAGUGGAGUAUGUGGUUUAAUUCGAUGCAACGCGAAGAACCUUACCUGGUCUUGACAUCCACAGAACUUUCCAGAGAUGGAUUGGUGCCUUCGGGAACUGUGAGACAGGUGCUGCAUGGCUGUCGUCAGCUCGUGUUGUGAAAUGUUGGGUUAAGUCCCGCAACGAGCGCAACCCUUAUCCUUUGUUGCCAGCGGUCCGGCCGGGAACUCAAAGGAGACUGCCAGUGAUAAACUGGAGGAAGGUGGGGAUGACGUCAAGUCAUCAUGGCCCUUACGACCAGGGCUACACACGUGCUACAAUGGCGCAUACAAAGAGAAGCGACCUCGCGAGAGCAAGCGGACCUCAUAAAGUGCGUCGUAGUCCGGAUUGGAGUCUGCAACUCGACUCCAUGAAGUCGGAAUCGCUAGUAAUCGUGGAUCAGAAUGCCACGGUGAAUACGUUCCCGGGCCUUGCACACACCGCCC
RNAcentral lists this ribosomal RNA (1385 nucleotides) under uncultured bacterium. RNAcentral's name for it is "bacterial SSU rRNA". It matches the Rfam family "Bacterial small subunit ribosomal RNA". The record is from RNAcentral.